ACCUACUAUAGUUUAUAAAAACAUUGAAUUGCAAGUUCAAAAAUGAAAUUAUAUUUCUAGUAAGUU
Molecule: transfer RNA, 66 nt
Filed under: Euspira gilva
Lineage: Eukaryota; Metazoa; Mollusca; Gastropoda; Littorinimorpha; Naticidae
Description: tRNA-Cys
Source: RNAcentral